GACCGCUAGGGUAACGUUUCAUCUGCAGUUGAGUAAGAAUUGCUUACAGUAGUAUCUGUGCCAUCUCUUCAUUAAUUUACUAAAUGAAGAAACAUUGGAGGCUUUGUAGUUUGGAAAAGAAGUAGAAGGUUGAGAAGGAACAGGAUGCAAUGGCAUUAGACAGGUGUGUGUGCAUACAUCAGAAUCUCCCUUGGGGAAGACUUUGGCUCUCCUGGUCAUCCACUGAAAUUGCUCAACACAGAGUCUGAUGCAGAUUAAAAAGCAAGAUCUCAAAACUUCCAUCAUGUGGAUGCAGGUACACCAGGUAAUCCUAGCCAUGUGAAUUCAUCACUACCUCUUAUGCUGUUGGAUGGGGCUUGCUGUCAUCAGGAAGAAAAUUACGAAAACUGCUCAUUGCUUCCUCUGAGAUGACAGCUAUUGAAAUGGGAACCUCCUCUGCUCUGCUUCUGCCCAGAAAAAGCAGAUUGUUUCAACUCUUAUGGGACAUAGGCAUCUCUCCAGCAAGAGGCAAAUGGGACAGAUUGCUUCAGUCUUUUUAAAUCAAGGAAAUACCAAAGGAGCUGCAUGUAUGUUUCUCUGAAGAUGCCAGCCACAGAUGCAGAUGAAACGCCAGAAAUAAACUCUUCUAGAACAUGGCCACUUAGCCCCAAAACACCCACAAAAAAACUAUGGAUGCUGGCCAUGAAAGCUGUCAACUUCACAUCCCAGUUUCUCUUUCCUCAUCCCAUGUUUUCCCUUUGUCCUCAGCCAAGUUCAUCUGGUGCAAACUGAAUUCAAAAAUAGUUUGCAAUGAGUUAAUUCAGAUGUGGUAGAGGAAAAGUGUUGCAUUGUACUGUCUGUUUUUUGUAACGCACCUUGAAUCCCAGCCUGGGAGAAAAUGGGGUAUAAAUAAAGUGAUACAUGGAUAGAUA
Sceloporus undulatus (fence lizard) is the source of this 911-nucleotide long non-coding RNA. RefSeq lists it as uncharacterized. The record is from RefSeq and is a predicted model, not a curated record. Lineage: Eukaryota; Metazoa; Chordata; Lepidosauria; Squamata; Phrynosomatidae. The transcript is spliced from 4 exons.